UUAACUAUUAUAUGUUACUCAGACAUCACUAAACACAGAGUUUGGGUCCCCUGGCAGGCGCUGUCAGCCGGAGCCGACGCCCGGAGGCGGCCUGCCAAAGCAACAAAGGUAAGGUAUACACGUUUAUGGGUAUUGAACCCAUUUUUACGAAAAAAACGGGGCGUUUUCUUUUUCAAUAAUGAUCCUUCCGCAGGUUCACCUACGGAAA
RNAcentral lists this unclassified non-coding RNA (208 nucleotides) under uncultured fungus. Its description in RNAcentral is "sequence contains ITS1, 5.8S rRNA gene". Lineage: Eukaryota; Fungi. The record is from RNAcentral.